RNAcentral lists this ribosomal RNA (896 nucleotides) under Pinnularia borealis complex sp. Its description in RNAcentral is "partial 28S ribosomal RNA". Lineage: Eukaryota; Bacillariophyta; Bacillariophyceae; Sellaphorales; Pinnulariaceae. The record is from RNAcentral.
GGAAAAGAAACUAACAAAGAUUGACAUAGUAAGGGCGACUGAAAUGUCACUAGCUCAGCAUGUGAAUCAGCGUUCACUUUAGURAGCGYUGAAUUGUGGUCUUAGGGUUGUUGCACCAUUUAGGCCAGACUAUGUUUUUUGGAAUAAAAUAGCAAAGAGGGUGAAACUCCCGUUUGUCUGGCCUUACAAAGCAUCARCUAUUGAGUCGAGUUGUUUGGGAUUGCAGCUCAAAUGCGGUGGUAAAUUCCAUCUCAAGCUAAAUAUUAGCAGGAAACCGAUAGUGAAMAAGUACCGUGAGGGAAAGAUGCAAAGAACUUUGAAAAGAGAGUGAAAGAGUACCUGAAAUUGCUGAAAAGGAAGCUAACGAAGCUAGUGAAAGCUCUGUCAUACUUUCCAAUUUGCUUGCAAUUUGGACGCUGUGACUGGCUAAGUCCGACYAGAUUGCAAUAUGCGAAAAUUGGUAUUGGAAAGACUUAUUUCCUUUUGCCUACAGCGCUUGCUGUGAUUCAGUCGAACCAAAUAGCUUUGUUUGUCCCGUCUAGAAACACGGACCAAGGAGUCUAACAUAUGUGCGAGUACUGGGGUAGCCAACCUUGGUGCGCAAUGAAAGUGUCAGAGGCUAGAAGCAAUCAAGCUUGCAGAGUCCGCCGGCCUCAAUCCCUCGGGAAAAUGGUCUGAGUGUGAGCAUACAUGUUGGGACCCGAAAGAUGGUGAACUAUGCUUGAGUAGGGUGAAGCCAGGGGAAACUUUGGUGAAGGCUCGCAGCGAUUCUGACGUGCAAAUCGAUCGUCAAACUUGAGUAUAGGGGCGAAAGACUAAUCGAACUAUCUAGUAGCUGGUUCCCUCCGAAAUUUCCCUUAGGAUAGCUGCAAUCUCAUUAACAGCCAGUUUUGUCA